AUGAAGACGUGCCGCUGGCGCGCCGCCGCCGCUCCUCCUCUACAACCUUGGAUCGGACGGAGUCCCAUGGCGGUCGGGAAGUCAACGGACCUCGAACCCAAAGGGCCUCCACCUUGCAUCGUCGCCAUCGCCUUCGAUCUGGACCUCAUCACCUGCAUCUUCCAAACUUUCAACAACCGGAGCCGCCGCCUACGGACUCCGGCACGGGAAGAAGGCGCACGGCAACUCCGCCGAGUUACGAGCACCAGGAAGGAGGCGGGGAAGUGGUCGGAUUCCGCAGAACCCCGCCACCGGAGAAGAUCACCGCCGCCACAAACCACCAACCCGACAGCGCCUUCCUCUCCACGGCGCUGCCGGCGAACCACCCACUCCAUCCUAGCUAUGUACAGACGGGAACCGAGGUUUCCCCACCCUCCCGCCGCCGAAGCGGCCGGCAGAGGGGGGGAAACCAGCGAGCNNNNNNNNNNAACAUAA
This 474-nucleotide ribosomal RNA is filed under the name Triticum aestivum (bread wheat). Its description in RNAcentral is "partial small subunit ribosomal RNA". The record is from RNAcentral. Lineage: Eukaryota; Viridiplantae; Streptophyta; Magnoliopsida; Poales; Poaceae.